Molecule: non-coding RNA, 710 nt
Organism: Oryctolagus cuniculus (rabbit)
Lineage: Eukaryota; Metazoa; Chordata; Mammalia; Lagomorpha; Leporidae
Source: RefSeq, a predicted model, not a curated record
GCAAGGCCUCCAGGUUGUCUGACUGCACUGGGGCUGCAGCACCCAUCCCCAGGCCUCCAGGUUGUCUGACUGCACUGGGGCCGCAGCACCCAUCCCCAGGCCUCCAGGUUGUCUGACUGCACUGGGGCCGCAGCACCCAUCCCCAGGCCUCCAGGUUGUCUGACUGCACUGGGGCCGCAGCACCCAUCCCCAGGCCUCCAGGUUGUCUGACUGCACUGGGGCCGCAGCACCCAUUCCCACGCCUCCAGGUUGUCUGACUGCACUGGGGCCGCAGCACCCAUUCCCAGGCCUCCAGGUUGUCUGACUGCACUGGGGCUGCAGCACCCAUCCCCAGGCCUCCAGGUUGUCUAACUGCACUGGGGCUGCAGCACCCAUUCCCAGGCCUCCAGGUUGUCUGACUGCACUGGGGCUGCAGCACCCAUUCCCACGCCUCCAGCCUCAGUGGGCAGUGCCCUAUUCAGUCCUUCUGACCACUUGGUCUUUCCUAAAACUGCAUGGAUCGAGCCAUGGAUUCACUACACCUGAGUAAAGGCCACACUCCCCCCACUCCCGAAGAGAAGCUCAUCCCCAUCUGGGGGCUAAGACAAGGGGACCACCCCCACCUUUCCAAAAGGCUGGACUGACAACUCUUGGGGUUCUGGGCCUCUCUCCCUGCCAAGAAUCUCUUCUUUACCUUGGAUUACUGAGAUAAGUGCUCCUGGCCUCAGGGG